GAGGGCUGCUUGUUUAUCUUGACAAUGUCUUUUAUCUCAGCCGCUGACAAUGGAGCCGGCUCUGCCUCCCUGCCCUCAGCUCCUCAUCAAAGGUCAGUGCACUCCGCGUUCCCAGAACCGCGCUCGCUCCAGGCAGCAUUAGAUAACAUUUCUCUUUCAUUGCAUUUUUAGGUCAAGCCAGUUUUAUCCCUUGGGAGCAGAUGACCAAAGGCAGUGAGGCACAGCCAUGGACAGUCUCUUCCCUGCUGCUGCCGUUGUAUUUACUCCUCCCGAGCAGCCUCUUCUCACCUCCACAUCCUGCUUUCCUCCACAAGCUGGACUGGGAGACAGCUAGCACAGAAUGCUGAGCUGACGGACCAUCCCUUCAGCAAGGUUGUUUUUUAAGCAUUUGCAGGAUGCACAGAAUUGUAGAGGGCGAAAGUCAGCCGAGCUGUGGGCGCUGACCUGGGAGAGCUCAGAGGACAAGUGCCUGUGGGGACAAAGCCAGACACACACGUAACAGCAGCUUGAGGCACGGAAAGGGAGCCCCCAGCUCCCCAGGGGACGAUGCAGGAACAGGGUGGGAGGGUGGCGGGCCCAGAGGGGGAGGGCACUCUCCCAGGCCACACUUUCUAAAGCCCUGUGUGUUCCAGAAAGCAAUGUGUUGGCACAUGGUGGGAGGGAGGAAGAGGGGAUCAGCCAGGCCAUGAGCGCAGCACAGGCAGCCGAGUGGGCUCAGGCUGCAGCCACCGAGAGUCCCUCCGUACACUGGGGCAGGGGUCGGGAUGGAGCCUGAGAGUCGGGUGAAGGCAGUGCCCUCUCCUUCCAGCCAGUGCCCUGGGCUGGGCUCCAGGUGGACAGAAAGCAGGCACAGAGGCCAGCUGAACUGCUUAGCUGAACUGGGAAGGGGGCUCCUUCCCAUCAAGGGUAGCCCCCACCUCAGAAGAAAGACCAGGCCAGGCCAGUGGCCAAGAAGAACCCUGAGCCAGUCCUGGGCCUCGCCAGCUCUGCAGCUUGCAACCAGCUGUCUGAACUGUCUGUGCCCUGACCCAGGUCACCUGUGUGCAGGAGGCUGGCCCAGUGGUGUGCCCAGACGCAGAGUCCAGCCUGUGGCAGAGUCAGCCCACACUCAACACCAGCCCAUGAGGCCUGCACAUGGGCACAGGGAGACAAGGCUGUCCCCAGGGAGUGUGAGAUUUUUGUCCUUAGUCCAAGUCUGGCUGCUGUAAAAAACUAGGACCAGGGGUGGCGAAGCCAAGAACAACCUGAGAAGGCCCGGGGUGACCUGCUCUCACUCUGGACCGGGACGUCCACAGAAAUGGUGUGGUGUCCAGGACAGGACGGGGAGCCCAGGCCCAGGGCCUCCUCACAGUCUGCCAGGACAGAACCCGACAUCCUCCAGGCCUCAGAAACACUGCUCUCCGAGAAGCUGCAGCGUGGCAGGUCCUCAGGGCCAGCGGCACCAUGCUGACGUGGCCUGAGAGGGUGGCCACAUCAGGCCCUGGCUGGGAGGGUCCGUCCACGCAGGCUGUCACAACCCACAAUGCCUGCCAUAUCUCCCACUGGAAUGCUGUUACCACUGACCUGCCUGGCCAGGAGGCCCAGGUGCUGAGACCCACAGGGGACGCUUGCCUGUGGUGAGUGCCCAAGAGGGGAAUAGCCAGGACGUUCCAGCCAGCGUCGGGUGGUGGCUCCCCUGGGCCUCAAGGGCACGUCCUGCUGACAGGUUUCUGUAGAGGAACGAGAUUCCCGCGAGGGGAGCUUCACGGCAGCGAGCACAGAGAGCAAGGGACCAGGACGGGAUGGACCUGGCCCACCUCAGUGCUUUAGGGAGGAGAAAGGCCGAAGGACCCCCAAUGGCGAUCUCACCUCGUUGGGAAGGAGCUUGGAGAAGAGCAGGCGACUGCUUCUCCUCCGCCUGCCCCGUGGCCUGUGCCAGCCACACUCAGGAGCCUGCCUUACACGGUGCUGGGGCCACCGUGGACACUGGGUGCAUGAGUCUGCGCCUGGUUUUGCACAGGACCUCACUUAGAACACCUCCUUCAGUCCUGGUAAGGUGGCGUUACCCUUGGACCCACUGUGUGGCAAGAGGAGAGGCCCACAGUGGCCCAGUCGCUGGCCCAAGCCCGUGUUUGCCGCAGUGAGAGGGCUGACUCGUGUCCAGAGGCCCUGGCCAGGCUUGGGGCUCUCGCCACACCUCACCCUGGCCACAGGCAGGGCACUUCCACACCUUGGCUCAGUGGCUUGUUGAGCACAGGACAUGAGCACCAAUAGCCCUGCCCCAGGCUCCUUCUCUUUUGACCCAAGGGCACCCUGGAGCAGAGAGCACCCUGGGAUGACUUCCCCGGGUCCCCUGCACUGCCCUUGGUCUCGUGGGCGUCUGCCCGACUCCAGCAGCUCUGGCAGGCUCUGGAGAGGUUUCCUGUCACUCCCAAUAGCUGGAGCACCUGCCAAGAGGCCAACCUCCCCCUAAGCCUCCUCCUCGGCUCUGCCUCCAGGCCACCCCAGAGGCCCCUGUUCCUCUCCUGUGAUUGCUGGCACUCCGGGGCAGGAUUCGAGGCCUCCCACGUGCCUCUUCUCCUUUUUCUCCCAGCUGAAAACCCGAAGGCCCUCCUCUCUCUUCCAAGAGGUGGUCAGAAUCCGUAGCCGCCCAGCCAGCCCCGCGUGCCAAGCUGACGCGGUGACCAGGUCUGCACCCGGUCCACGCUGUGCCUGGGCGAGGUCGUGGGCCCAGGGGGCCGUGGGUCACUGCUCAGAGGGCACCAGGAUCCUGCACCACCCUGCUGUGGAGGUUGCCUGCUGGUUGCAGGAGGUCUGAGCUGCUGACCUGCACCCCAGAGAGCCCGGCCUCGGUUCUCACAGCCCCUUCCCUGCAACCCGCAGGCUGGGGAGCCGCGUGCCCUCAGGGAGGUCCCCCAAGCCCCAGCCUGUGCCUCCAUCCACGGGGGUGGGAGGAUAAAGGGGCACGUGCCUCUGUGCACUGCGAGUGUGAGCACGCCGUACGGAGGUCGCAGCCGUGCCGCUGUCACCUCUCCAGGGAAGCCCGCUGCUCCCCUUGACCCUCGACUUGCGCUCAGGUUUUAACUCUGCCUUCUGUUAGGCCUUAAUUUGAAAAGCGUGUGUCAUUGAUCUUUAUUGAAAUACCAUAUUUCUUGGUUCCUCAGCCCCUGUCCCACCUUGCAACUCGGGUACUGGUUCUCCCAGAAGAGCCACUAAGGAGUCUGGGCCCAUCUUUCAGCUAGUGGCACUUUUGAAAUGGCUCACAGCAGAACCAUGAGAGGUUCCAUGACAGAUGUGCUGCUGAGGCCGGUGUCCUCAGACUCGGCCUCACAGGGAACUGGGUGGAGGUCAUCUGUGAAGGAGGCUGGUGUCAGCACCCCACAAGAGAACCUGCGUACAUGGGCAUUGGGAGGUGACAGAGCCCUGGGUGAUCUCAGGAGCAGUGGGAGCUGAGCCUGCUCCUACCUGGGCCGGCGUGGCGACCUCGGGCCCCACACUGCCCUCCAGUACAAGCUGCGCAAAUCCUGCCAUUGCAUCCCCCUCCCCAAGGACAGGAGGGCAUUGCCAUCCAAGGUGCAGAGAAUCCUUCGGUGCAAGCUUCUGGACGGAUCCUUGCCAAUGUCCGUCUUGCCCACAUUCCUUUGGGUCUCACUGUCAAGAGGGCAGGCCUGUGGAUGGUGCCCUUACUGCUGCUUGACCUCAGUCAGCUGCAGGUGGCACAGCAAGCAGCUCAGGAUGCCGGGGAGGGAUCACUGCCAAGGGAAGACCUCAGAGAGGCACAGGACAGGGAGUAUGGCGGAAACUGUGGGUUGUGUUAGAGGGGACAUUUAAGGACCCUGGUUUCACAAACUUGAGUGGACUGUGGCAGCUUGAAUGGACUCUCCACCCGACUUGGCACCGGCCACAUGAAGUCAUUCAUUUAAAAGUGGGUUCUGGGCAUUGUGACCCUAGACAAAGGCCUCUGCCUACCUCUCAAAACCCAGGGAAGCCCUGUGGUCCCUCCCCUUGACGGACAGGCCAGGCGGGUGUGGAACAAAGGGCAGGGAGCGUUUUAUCCCCUGUGGGCUCUCUCUCGCCCUGGCCCUGCCCAGGGACCCCAGCUGCGGAGCACAUGCUCCCGCCCUGUGGUUCAUGCUGGUGGGCUCACCCGGCGGCUCGCCUGCAUGCACCAGCUGUUGGAGCAGCCAGGAGACAAAGCACCAGCAGGCUCACUAAAGCCGAAGCCCAAAGCCUGGGCCCUGUCCCAGCGACUGUCACAAGAGCGUCAGCUCUGCCAGACAGACGGCUGCAGCUGAGUCCACGGGCAGCGGACAGCAGUGUGGUCCUGCCCGAGCGGGGGCUGUGCCAGCCUGCAGGCCUUGUGCCCCACCUGCGUCCGCAUCCUCAUCCCAUGCAUGUGGGGGCACCCCAGGCCUCCAGGGGCAGCCACUCUUGAUAAGCAUUGGUCCCUUCCGCCUCCAGGAACCGGGGCCUGCUCAAUGCAACCUGGAUGUUCCACACACAGGCCGCCAUUCUGCUGUGUCUUGGAGCAUCGGGAAACAGCCAGGGAGGACACAGGGGUGCUGGGCAGAGAGGGAGCAGGGCUGAGGGGGAGCCGCCGUCCCCAGGGAGCCUCUCCUGAGUCAGGGAAUGAGGACAGGCUCCCUCGGAAGCUCACGGUUGAACACUGCAUUCAGAUGUUGUUUGUCACAUGAGUAGAAUACAGUUCAGUAACUUCAAAAAACUGAGGCGUGUAAACCAUGGAACACUCCAAACCAGAGUGUGCCAGGUCCCGCGGCCCACCCCUGCCAGGAGCUGCAGGAGAAGGCUCCCUCCUGCCUGGGGCCCCUGGGCCUGCGGCUCCAAUCCUCAGCCCCUAGAAGAGCUUUCUUACCUCCCUGGACUGAAGCCCUGUCACCCACUUUGGCACCAUGGAAUUCAGCACUUUUCCUCAAACGCUACAGAGAAAUCCCACUGCAGGCCAGAAAGCCCCUGCCCCUCGCCGUGAGAGCCACACUGUGCAACCGCUUCCAGCCACCGGUCGCUGUUAUCUGAGCACACAAAGCAGAGCCCCCUGUCCAGACGGCUUCCCAUGCGUCUCUUGGCCAGGAGCCCGGCUGUGCACAUGGACAGUUCGCACUCAGCUAGGAAGAGACGGGAAUUAAUUUGACUGGACUUGGCUGGUCCCCAAGCAGGCUUGCCUGGGAAGCAGCCUGGGACAGGCCAUUGCCCCUCUUUUGAGGGGCUCCAGCAGAAAAGCUGCAGUUUCACCCGGAGCGUUCCUCCCUCCCGGGGUCCCUCGUGCUGAGCCCAGUAGGACCCAGGGUUGCUGCGCAGGGAGAGAGCAGCAGGGCUGAGGGGGAGCCUGGGAGUGCACCUUCUCAGAUCCCGUCAGGAGGUCCCCAGUAAGAGGUCACAAUGCAGGGACACCAGGUGCAGGUGCUGAGAGCCGCCCUGCGCCCAGGCUAAGGCCCCACAGUCCCUACAAUGGGGUGGGGGUGGGGCAGGCCUUUGUACCAGGGCACAGAGGAAAACGCUCAGGUACACCCAGGUGGCAGGCUGGAAAUUGGGACUCAGCCCUGGGGUCUGGGUCUGCGCUCAGAGGGUCACCCUGUAACCUCACAGUCCCACAGCAGCUCCCCCAGGCCCUGCCCGCCGGCUCCCUGCAGCUUCCCAAGGUCUGCACCACUGCAGCCUGAAGCCUCCGCGGGGCUCUCUCUGGGCAGCUAUUCAUGCUCAGCACCCCACAGUGAGGCCCGUAGCUGAGCACUUCCCUGCACACCAAUUAAAGCCAAAUUGGAUGCUCCUUAGCAUAUGAAUCAAGGCGCCUGGGAACAUCCCUGCGGCUUCCAGCUUGGCCUCCCUCUCCACCCAGCCCCCUGCAGCGCAGCUGCCUGUGAUGCCCCUUCCCACAUCCCACCUGCGACUCUGGACUCUGUCCCCUUCCUGUGGCCUACUGGGUCCUGGGUCAGUGCUCCAGGGGGAUUUCAAACCCUCACAACCCCAAGAUGCCUGGGAUGCAUAUCAGUGGGGAGAUGGAAUGUCAAUGGAAUAGCAAGCUGGCACCCUACAAUUCUGAGCUAAAAAGGGUGCUGAAAGGGAUGCUAAGGUCUAGCAGGCCUCCUUCUCCUACUGAGAGCAGCACCCCUCGGUGUCCGGCCUCCUCUAAAGGCCCCUGCUGACCUUCCAUCCCAAGGGGGACUCUUACUUUUUGGUGCUGCCUGUGACUUCAGAUGCUGCAGGUCGUUGUGAAUAAAUAAUUGGGUGUGUUUUGAAAUGAAGCAGGAAAGUCCCUCUGAGGGGGCAGAUGGCAGGACACGGUGGCAGGAAGCCUGUCCUUUGAGGAUCGAUGUAUUCGAUUUAGCCAUCGAAGAGGUCAGGCCUCUACCACAGCCUUUACUCCCUGUGCGGAGCUCAGAGGGCGGCUGCUCAGGACAGAGGCUUUCCUGGUGCUGCCCCUGCCUGCUGGGCGGUGGCUAAUCUCUGAGUGCUCUGCUCAUCUGUAGACCUCAGCCUUUGUGAGGACCUGGCCCAGAGUCCAGGCUGAGCCCUGGGUCAGUCCAGGCUAGCUUCCCUGCCCGCAUGGGCUCGGUAACAGCCAGAACCUGAGCUGCAGCCCUCCCAGUGUGGUGGUGGACCCUCUGGGGUAGAAACCGAGAAACGUUCACUGCUAGGUUCCUGGUGACCCUGGAUACCUCCCCGCUGUAGGCAGAGCACAAAGCAGCCCCUGGGGAUUCCUGCAGACGUGGUCAGCCCCUCUUCUUCAGGCAGUGGGGCCAGCAGACAUGGUGGUGGAGGGUCCAGGCCCCAGUCUCCUCUCCAGAAGGGACAAAGAGGAAAACAGGGGCCUGAGCUGCCCGUCCCCCGCUCCACCCAGCACUGGUGUCUGAUGUCUGUGAACACCACAGCACUGCCAGCUGUCAGCUGGGCUCUGGCAGGAUGCGUCAGGCCGCGGGCUGGCACCAUCCUGCUCCACGCAGGCUGCAGCACAAGGAGGCAGCCAAACCCACCAUCUUUGUUCCAGAGACAGGUCACCCCCACAGGAAGCCAGCGCGGCCAUCUCCAGCCACCAGAGGUGUGGGCAAAGCUAACAUGCCAUCAUCAAGGAGAGGUGACAUUCUACAAGAACCGAGUUUCACCCAGCAAGAGAGAAGUGGGCUCAACCUGUCGGACCCUCUCCCGGAGGCCCCUGAGUGCAGCUAUGUCCACCCCCACACUCCUCUCCCAAGGUCACUAAGGAAGGCUCCUCUGAGGAACAGCUGGCUGAGAGCCUCUGCUUACCCAGGUCAAGAAGUGGGUGUGAGGAACAGGUCUGCCGCCAGCCCUAGACAGCACAGACUGCAUGGGAAGGUCAGUGGCCACUGCCUCCCCGUCCCCAGCCCCUCGUUGCUGAGCAGGAGACUGUGGGUUCGAGUGACGGCACACAGCGUGAGCUGGUGCGUGGUCUGAGUCUUACGUGGAAGUCCUCUUUCUCAGGGCUGUGGUCGCAUGAGGGCCUUGGGAGGUGACCAGGUCCUGAGCCGUGAGGAUACGGUUGUGUCCGUGUAAGAAGGGAUGAUCUUUCUCUCAGCCAGGCAAGGCCACAGGCAGAGCCGUCCCGACAGCCUGCGCCUCAGCCCUGAGGGGCGUGUGUCUGGGGCUGACGAGGUGCCGGGCCGGCACUGUUCAGAGCCAGUGGACCCAAACAGCCGGCAAGACAAAUGGCAGUGAGAGGAGGGCCCUGCUCUGGUCCCGCUCAGGAGCACGGAGCCAGGAGGACAGCGCCUCGGUCACCCCCAGGCUCCCCUGCGAGGCUCAGCACGCGGCCCUCCUGUUGGGAUGCAGUUCUGCUCAGGCCCCUCCAGGAAAUGCCAGAGAAGAAAGAUGGCUCUCAGUGAGCUCAGGGGGCCAAGGAGACAGGCAGGGACCCGUGAGACGAGGGGGGGAGAAGGUGGGGACAGGGGAGCAGCCGGCCCAGGGAGGAAGCCCUGUGGUCCGGGGGCAGAAAUCGGCAAUGCUGGGGUUUAGGGACAGUGCCAAGAGGCCAUGCCCACACCGUUGGCCGAUGACUGCUUCACUGGUUCCAGUAUUGCCCGCCCUGGGCAGCGCUGCCUUUGCAGCUCCCCAGAGGCCACUCCAGGAUGAGGAGGAGGAAGCAGGCAGCUCCCAGUGGGCACCCGGUCAGGGCAGGGUGGGGGCCAUCCAGGAGGGGGAGGGAAACCACGGGCUGGAACCUGGGGUGCCCAUCACCACCCCCAAACAGAGAGAUCCCCAGGAAUAUCUGGGAGACGGCUAGGUCUGCUGCACGCACAGACAGUGCUCCGGUCCUCGGCUUGGUUACCAAGGGAACAGCACGCCAGAAAGGAAGGAGGCUGCUGGCCGUCCCCUGCGCUUUGUGACACUAAGCCAAGGCACAGUGAGCCACAUGUCUGUCCAGGCUCACUCUCCACUGGGCCUCCCAGGGCCACUGAGAAGCCAUGCCAACAGUCCCUUGGCAGUGCUGGGCUCCCGUGACCUCCUCAGGUCCUGGAGCCUGUACCCAAGUGCUCUGGACUGCGGAGUUCAGCACAAACACCACAACCUGGACCACUCCCCGUCCAGCCCCUCCGGCAUUCCCCCAGGUGCCCACCUGUGCUGUGGGGUGGUCAGGAGAAAGCGCUGGUACUUGUCCUCAGCUGAAGCUGCUAGCCCUCGACUAGGCCCAGCUAGCGCCAUGGGCCGAUGACAAACCCGAUUGCAGCCUCUGCAGCCUUGGUGUCACCUCUAGGUGAUGGAGUCACCCACAGAGCCAGCUAAGGGGUGUGGAUUUAGGAAGAGCUGUCCCGGACCUCGGAAGUUACUUGGAACAAAGUUCUUAAUAACUGUUAUGGCAUCAGAUCCGCCAUUUUAGUUCGGGAGCCAUUUUAUCCGGGGACUCCCGGGUCUCCUCAGGAGCCAUUUUAUCCGGGGACUCCCGGGUCUCCUCAGGAGCCAUUUUAUCUAGAGACUCUCGGGUCUCCUCAGGAGCCAUCUUAUCUAGGGACUCCCGGGUCUCCUCAGGAACCAUUCUAUUCAGGGUCUCCUGGGUCUCCUCAGGAGCCAUUUUAUCUGGAUCCUGAGGCAAUGCUGCUUGGCCUCCCGUAAGAACAUGUGCCUGCUCGAGGGUCGUCCCCACCCCAGCCCGUGACACAGCCCUAGCAUGCUUGUGAAAUUCCUCUUGCGGGCUCUGAAGCUGCCUGUGAGUGCCCACAGGCUGCUGCUCUCCUUGGAGGGACAGCCUUGGCCGUUUGUCUCCGUGGAUUCUGGCGUGGCGUGUCCUUGGACUCUGCGAGUGCCCUUUCAACUGCUACACUAGACACCUGGGAAGUGUGGGUUUGAUCAGUGAAAGGCGUAGUGACCUUUGGAAGACAACUUUGGGUGGACGGUGAACGUGGCACCCGUGGGGGUUCUGUGCUGGCUAGGCAGGCCACCCUGCCCUCUGUGUCUGUCCUCCCUCUCUCCAGGCACCCCCUGGGAGGAUGCUGCCUCCCUCGGCUGGAAUCCAACAUGGAGAUGGUUUGCACAGCCAGCAGGGCUCACACGGACCAUUGCAGGCCACUGCCCCCCUCCAGAACAAGGGAGCUUUGUCUCUUGUUUCCUCAGGAGGUCAAGGUCCACCAGAGGCUGGCGUGUGGGUGUUCUGUCUGGGGCAACUUUGCCCUGAAUGCGGCUUCAGUGCACAAUGCUGCCUACACCUCAGGCAAAUGCUCUGUCCUGAGCAGGGACGGGGCAGAAGGGGCUCCUGCAGCUCCCACCAACCAUGCGCCGCCCUUCAGCCAGAGGUCCCUGGCCUCAGCCCUAAGUCCAGUCCCUGAAAAACGAUUUUCUGUGGCAAAGCCAGGUGUCAACUGGACUCAGUGUGCCAGGGUAUGGAACGAGCCGUACUUGGCAGGCUGCUUCCCAGUAUGGCCCACACCAAGCUAAGAGCCCCACCAGAAGCUUCUCCCCAGAAACAAAGAGCACACGGUCCUUGUUGGCCAUUGCUGGAGGGUGUUGAGCAUUGGAACUUACUUUAUUUGGAAAGGGAGAUUUUGUGGCCAGUUUUUGUAGGCAGCUUGAAGGAUUUAUGAUUGACAGCUAGCAAUUACUUGAAGGGACACUGUCACCAAGGUAACUGUGCAGGAAACCAGGGCAGAGGGACUGUCUGCUGAGGCCUGCGUGCGGGGUGGGCUGUGUGGCUUAGCACCUACUCCCUUUGCUUGUUCACCAACCUGAGCCCCCCAGCAGGCAGAUUCUGAGGGGAAAGAAACCAGUUCUCACGGCAAAUGAAGAGCAGCCCCUGCUCCCAGACUGUGCCUUGAGUCAAAUCCUAGCUACACCCCCAGACCGCAGCCUCCUGCCCAGGUCCUGGCCUCCCCAGGCUGCUGUGGCGAAGUGGAGUCCUCCAGGACAGCUGCUGCUGGAAGACCCGCGUGUCCUCGGGGGUCCAGGAGCCAAGUGCUCAGGAGAGCUGGGGAGGCUGACCCCACCUAGAAAACCAAGCGACCCCAGGGCAUGGUGCUGUUAUGCUCGAAUUCGGGACCCCCAAAAGACCACCAGAGACCAAGAUCGAUGUAAGCAGCAAAGAGGUGUUUAUCGCGAGCUAGCUCGGUCCUCCACGCGCACACAGCAACUGGUGACGCUGAGAGGCCCCGAGCCCAGGGUUUGCAGCAGUUUUAUACAUUCUUUGGAGAAGGCAGGGACUUCACAUACAUCAUAGCAUCUCUUAGCAAAUCAUCACACAACAACUCUUAACAUUUAUUAGCACAUUCAUGGCGGGAACAAGUUGGGUAGGAGUGAUUGGUUACUACAAGAGGAGGAUUCCUUUGAACUGAUUGGUUUAGGCCACGAGGGGAGAACGUGCUGAACUACGUGGUUUCCCAACACGUUAUCAACCACCAUAAACUACUGGGGGGUCAUCUGGCAUCCCAGGUAUUUCCCUGUCUCAUGCUGAUUGGUGGCUGCUAGGGGUCCCCACCUAGCCGGACUGAGUGACCCUAGCAGAUCUCUCCUGUUAUUUGUAGAUAAACAACUCAGCAGGGUGGGCGUGUGCCUAGGAGUGCUCUGGGGGUCUUUCCCAGGACCAGGUCACGCCCCUUCCUUGGACAGGCUUGGCUCUGGGGUAGAGGCUGGCCUUUCAGUACUUUGCCCAUCUCAGAAAGAAAAGCAGCGCUUUCCGCCAGCCGGCUGGGUGGGCCUCCCACAGCAUGGACACCCGCCCCCACCCUGCACCCCCACAUGUGCCUGCUUCCCUCUGUCCCACCUCAAAGCCCCCAGGGCACAGGGCCAUCGGCAGCUAGGAAUGGAACUGUCCCUGCCCCUCCCAGCUCUGUCAGUCCACUCUAGGGCUCAGCUGGACCGGCCUCCCAGGAAGGGUGGGUGCUGGGUUGGGUCCUUGCACCGGCUGCCGGCCCCGCCCCAGGACCAUGUGCCAGUGGCUUGUGGACUGUGUGGUGGCUUCAGAAUCACCUCCGGUCAUCUCACUCUCAGGGCUUGGUGCUCUGUCUGGGUCUGGGCUUCAGGCGUCUCUCUCCCUCCUCCUGCCUGGGCGGCGGCGGGAGGGCUGCCCACCGUCCUGAAGGCACAGACCCCAGCUGGGAUCCCACCUAACCCACGGCCCCACGUGUCCCGUCCACUGAGCGCAGCUCCUCCUCCCCGCAGGCCUGCCAUAGGGAUGAGGAUGGGGGGCCACCGGGGCUCCUGACACAGGGCUGAGUGCCAUCCAGGGGACCUGCCCUGGUCCCUGCUCCAGAGCCUGUGAGCGCUCUGCCGGUCGCCUUCGGCUCCUCGCCCCUUGUCUCCAGGGAAGAGCCCGCCUUCCUGAGGGCCGGAGCCAUGCUGGGACGGCUCUUCCUCAGCAGCCGGCCUGGGCUGGACAGUAAGGGUGCACUCAGGGAAGCCCCCCCCUGCUGGCCUCCAGGUCAAGGGAUGCCCGGGAGGCCUCUGUCCCUUUCUUUCUUCCAUGUGUGCACCUCUGAGACCUGGCUUGUCCCUUCUCUGGAUGAGAGUGCAGGGAGGCGAGGCCUCUGUCCAGCCCUCCUGCUGGCUGGCCGCCCAGGGAGGGGAGGAGGUUGACUGCAGCUAGUGGCCUGCUCUGACGUUUCCUUGAAAUCACUGCUUGUGUGUGUGUGUGUGUGUGUGUGUGUGUGGUGUGAGAUGAAAUCACUGCUUGUGUGUGUGUGUGUGUGUGUGUGGUGUGAGAUGCGCAUUUCUCGAUCAAGUGUUAAGCAGAUUCUCUUGGGAGUCAGAAGCAUCACUGUGCUGCUGGACUGGCGUGGACCACGGCCAGGCGGGGUCACACGGGCCAGGCGGGGUCACACGGGCCAGGCGGGGUCACACCGGUCAGCCUGGCGAGCCAGGAGGGCCCACUGGGGUGCCCUGCUCCAGCACCGGCUGAGGGGAAGGUGACACUCCAGCCGCUCCUUCAGUCACUGCUCGGGGGACAGCUCAGAGAGGUGCAGCAGGAGUAAGUGGGAGGAGCAGCAGAUGGGCACUCAGAGAACCAGGAAGAUGUGGAGGGCAGGCUGUCCUGCUGUGUGCGGCCGAAGACCCCGAAGGCAGCCCCUCCCGCUGUCCACAGCCUCCCAGGAACACCCGCCCCCUGUCCCCUUCCCUGCUGAUGGCUCUCAGGCUCCGAGGACCCUCUGCAUUUCCCAGAGACAGAGGCAGCCCAUGACCUUGAACACGGCUCUCUUGGGUGCCCUCCCCAGAGCCAGAGCACGUGAGCCUCUGUCCCCUCCUCCGCACCUGCCAGGCAGAUUGUCCACCUCAGUCGAGGUGCUCUGAGCAGCUGGACCUGACUGUGCCCACUCAUUAAAGGGGCAGCAACGGCCCACGCUGGUCUCCUUUCCCCCUUGAUGACAGCACUGGGCGGACCUGGUAGGAGACGUGAUGGGGUCAGGUAAGCAGCUGGCAGGAGGGGCCAGCCACAGAACUGGCACGUGGCCCGCGGAAGCACUCCUUCCUCCACGGGGCACCGCAGUGGCCAGGGCCGGGGCACCUGCUGCUGGGUCAGGUGGCCCUGCCCACUCACCGUGGGAGACGCUGGGGCUGCCCUGCUCGUGGGUGGACGGUUCAGGGCCUGGCAGUUUUGCUUCCCCGUCACAUCGCACUGUUGAAUAAGGCGCCCGAUACGUGAGCAAGAGGCUUUGGGUCCCUGUCUGCUGUCAUCAAGAGGCGAUGAGGUCACCAGGAACAGCAGGGGCCUUGCAGGGCAGAGGACACGGUCACGUCAGGAGGAGGAGUCUGGUCCUGGCUGCACCUUCCCCUGACACCCCCGCAUCUUGUGCUGGAAAGUGUCUGCCCUGGAGGAAAGGCAGGUGGGGGCAUAACAGGAAGUUGGACUGCUUCCUCUUCCUGGCUGGGCAGCUUCCUGGCUGCCUUGUUCCUGGUCGGUUCACAGCAUGAGCAACCAGACCCUGCAUUAUGGAGAGGAUUCGGGUUGGCUCAACACCCCAGGGAAGCCCUCACUUCUCGGGCAUAGUCUCCAGCCCUGGGGUCUGUCUCUGGGGGUCCUGCCAUUCUCACCUGGACCAGGUCAGCCUGCAGCUCCUCCCCUGAUGGAGGUGACCUGAAGUCUGUGGGCGUGCAGCUCGAGCCCCGGAGACCCCUGCCCAUGAAGACUGACAGACCAAGGGGUCACGUCUGGGCAUCAGGGUUCCCCGGCUCCCGAGAGCCAGCUGCUGUGGCCAAACCCAAGCUCCGUGCACAGGAAUGAAGCUGAGGUCCUCCUGGCCACACUUCCCACAGGGACCCAGAACCUGGCACAGCCCCGAGGGCAACCUAGGGAGGAGCGGGAGCUCUUGUCCCCAGAACUUCGGGGCUACGUGAGCUCACAAUGCAGCUCCUCCCGACCCUGCUGGUGAGGCUCAGGCCAGGAGAGUUUCACCCCAGGGCACAGAUCUCAGCCAGGCCUGGGAUUUUCUGUGGACUUGGCCGCUGCCACCAUCCCACGGGGACGUUCUCUGCAGACUUGGCUUUCAUGGACCACUUAGGCACACAUCAGAUGACUGGGUCAAUAGCAAUGAGAGCUUUAGCUAGGAAACCACUUCCUGUGGUUCUGAAGAUGCCUUUUUGACACCUGCUCGGCAGAGAUGCCCCUGUGGACUCUGCAUCACCACUUGCUGCCACCAUGCUGCCCAGGUGGCUGCCCAGGUGGAAGAGAUUUCUCAGCUCUGAGUCAGUAUCGCCCCAGGUUCCUGCAGCUCCUGGCUCCCAGCCACCCGCUGACAAGGCCAAGGGCCUUGGAUCCCACCAGCUCCAUCAGGGAAGGCGUGGAGAGACUGGGAGGGACUCCACGCGGGCAGCUUCAGGCUGGCCCUGGCUUGGGGAGGCCAGGACUGGAGGCUCCUCCUCUCCUUUCAUCAGGGUUACCUCCCACCUUGCCAGCGGCUCUUGUCUGAGAUCCCCUUCUAGGACUAAUUCACGCUCUGCUCUUGGUAAGGAAACUAACGCUGAGUCAUCCCCAGUGUCAAAACGAGAAACAAGGAGAAGCCCUGUUCAUGCAGCUUACUGUCGCAGCUUGUUUCCCAGCUGCUGUCUGCCUUUGGGACCCUCCAGGCCACCCCCUCAAGUGGACACUCUUGACAUAUUCACCCCUGACCCCAGGGGCAGGGGAGGAGCUACCUGAGUGGCUGUUCUAGAAGCUGACCUCUGUCAACUGAGCAGAAGCACUAAACAGGAACUCAGCAAAGCCACCGCCAGGCCUCAGAGAACCAGGCUCCACCAAGCGGGGUCUACACUCAACAAGUACCGCCUUCCUGAAAGAGGACCAAGGUUUACAGACAGCCCCCUGAACCGCCAGACCACCCGGCCGGCCUGCUCAGCAGGUCAGCAUGGGAGUUGUAAGUGCUCAGCCUGCGGCUGGCCUCAAGGGACAGUGUGAUGGGAUCCUAGGGAACAGGCGUCUUCACGGGGAACCUGGCAGUAAUCAGGGGGAAACAGGCCUGAAGAGAACGUCCCGUUUAGCCAAGAAUGAAAGGAGAACACCAAGAAGGGGCCAUAGAAACCUUCUUAAGUAGGCAAGACAGGGGAAGAGG
Molecule: long non-coding RNA, 14972 nt
Filed under: Marmota monax (woodchuck)
Lineage: Eukaryota; Metazoa; Chordata; Mammalia; Rodentia; Sciuridae
Source: RNAcentral